Molecule: long non-coding RNA, 797 nt
Organism: Carassius carassius (crucian carp)
Lineage: Eukaryota; Metazoa; Chordata; Actinopteri; Cypriniformes; Cyprinidae
Exons: 3
Source: RefSeq, a predicted model, not a curated record
CGCGGAACUGGUUGUUUAUCGGGCGUCACGGCACACUUUGGCACAACUUACACCGAUUUAAAUGUCGUAAAACUGUUACUCCGGUGGCCCUUAUUCUUCCUGUAAGCUGAGAGUACACUCCUCCUUCGCCAUGUGUUACCUGACAGGAGUUAGUUUCACCGAGUGUUGUUCUCAAUGGGUGUGUCUCUUUCCUGCUUGGGAACUGCUUUAUUCUUUCUUUCUCAAUGCAUUCAUCUGUUCUAAAGCCGUCUCACCAUCUCUUCCUCAUUUGAACACAGGUAAACCCUACAGUUUUGCAUUCCAGUCAUAGUUCUGAAUGUAUGUUUGCCAGUUUUCACGUGGAAAACGAGCUUCAGCAUGUCUGCUCCUGCCAGUGAUGAUGGUGCUGUGUCUCGCCAUCUAACGGCCUGUGCUGAUAUGAUAUGCAAAUAUGGUAGAUGUGUGCUGAUGGAUGGGAAGCCCACCUGUGAGUGUAUGCUGGGCUACAUUGGAGACACCUGUAACGAAACGAUCAAUAACUCUCUGUCUGUGCCGCUCACCCUCGGUUUCCUGGCUUUCAUCAUUGGCUUUAUCAUCCUGUUCUUUGGGAUGGCUUUUUUCCGGCAAAGGCAAAAGGCGAAGAAGAGAGAAAAGGUAGCUGAAGAAGCCCUGUUAAGAAACGGAGCACAUCUUUAACAUGUUUUAAUGCCAAAAAAUAGGUUUGUGGUUCUACAACACAAUGUCUCAAAUGAACUCUAUUAUGAUGGUAACUUACUCUUUUCUCUCUCUCUUUGUGUCCCUCUUCAAACUGUAUCUUC